UUACAUGGAAUAUCAAGAUUUUUUAGUCCCAUUUCACUCAUGUUUUGAUAAUUCUAGUCACUUUACACUCCCAUUCUGGUCCUGGUUCCACUAAAAUCAUGUCAAGAAAUGGACUGGGACCAAACUAAACCAAACCAAAUGUGUAAUUCAUGGUCCCGGCGGCCAGUCUAUUUGACACUAUUCUAAUAACAGUUUAUAAAUUAAUUAAAAAAAGAAAAAGAAAAAAAAUCAGAAAAAGAGAUUAUAUAAGAGGAUUUUUAUAGAUAAGAAAAUCAGAAUAGAAAAAAUAUUAAAGAUCAUACUCUGAAGAAGUACAGAGUAAAAGAAUUAUUAGAGUAUUAAAAUAUAUACAAUUGUAAGAC
RNAcentral lists this small RNA (362 nucleotides) under Histoplasma capsulatum. RNAcentral describes it as "hypothetical RNA". The record is from RNAcentral. RNAcentral also lists the same sequence under 1 other name. Lineage: Eukaryota; Fungi; Ascomycota; Eurotiomycetes; Onygenales; Ajellomycetaceae.